This 301-nucleotide ribosomal RNA is filed under the name uncultured bacterium. RNAcentral describes it as "partial 16S ribosomal RNA". It matches the Rfam family "Bacterial small subunit ribosomal RNA", at positions 509 to 809 of the family's 1533-position model. The record is from RNAcentral.
CAGUAGCCGCGGUAACACGAAGGGUGCAAGCGUUACUCGGAAUUACUGGGCGUAAAGCGUGCGUAGGUGGUGGUUUAAGUCCGUUGUGAAAGCCCUGGGCUCAACCUGGGAAUUGCAGUGGAUACUGGGUCACUAGAGUGUGGUAGAGGAUAGUGGAAUUUCCGGUGUAGCAGUGAAAUGCGUAGAGAUCGGAAGGAACAUCUGUGGCGAAGGCGACUAUCUGGGCCAACACUGACACUGAGGCACGAAAGCGUGGGGAGCAAACAGGAUUAGAUACCCGAGUAGUCCCUGUCUCUUAUCC